Molecule: ribosomal RNA, 327 nt
Filed under: Triticum aestivum (bread wheat)
Lineage: Eukaryota; Viridiplantae; Streptophyta; Magnoliopsida; Poales; Poaceae
Description: partial small subunit ribosomal RNA
Source: RNAcentral
UGCCGAAGAUUCAUUGAGAAUUUCUCCAAGAUUGCAAAGCCUCUUUCCAACCUCCUCCAGAAGCAUGUGAAGUAUGUCUGGUCUCCUGAGUGUGACGUUGCUUUCAACACUCUCAAAGAGAAACUUGUCACAGCUCCUGUCUUAACUCCUCCUGAUGAAUCCAAGCCGUUUGAAGUUUUCUGUGAUGCUUCUCUCCAAGGUCUCGGUGCUGUGUUAAUGCAAGAGAAGAAAGUUGUGGCCUAUAACUUUCGUCAGUUAAAGCCCAACGAGAAGAACUACCCCACUCAUGAUCUUGAGUUGGCGGCAGUUGUCCAUGCAUUAAUAACG